UACGGAGGGUGCAAGCGUUAUCCGGAUUUACUGGGUUUAAAGGGUGCGUAGGCGGGUCUUUAAGUCAGUGGUGAAAACUCCGAGCUUAACUCGGAAACUGCCAUUGAUACUAUUGAUCUUGAAUUCAGUUGAGGUUGGCGGAAUGUGUCGUGUAGCGGUGAAAUGCUUAGAUAUGACACAGAACACCGAUUGCGAAGGCAGCUGGCUAAACUGAAAUUGACGCUGAGGCACGAAAGUGUGGGGAU
RNAcentral lists this ribosomal RNA (245 nucleotides) under uncultured bacterium. RNAcentral describes it as "partial 16S ribosomal RNA". It matches the Rfam family "Bacterial small subunit ribosomal RNA", at positions 524 to 768 of the family's 1533-position model. The record is from RNAcentral.